CAGUCGUACGAGAAAGGGGCUUCGGCCCUGAGUAGAGUGGCGCACGGGUGAGUAACGCGUGGGUAAUCUGCCCUUGGAUUUGGAAUAACUCCGCGAAAGUGGAGCUAAUACCGGAUAGUCUGGCUUUUAAUAGAAGUCGGUAAAGGAUGCCUCUGCAUAUGCAUUCGUCCGAGGAUGAGCCCGCGUCUCAUUAGCUAGUUGGUAGGGUAAUGGCCUACCAAGGCAACGAUCAGUAGCUGGUCUGAGAGGAUGAUCAGCCACACUGGAACUGAAACACGGUCCAGACUCCUACGGGAGGCAGCAGUGGGGAAUAUUGCGCAAUGGGCGAAAGCCUGACGCAGCAACGCCGUGUGAGGGAUGAAGGCUUUCGGGUCGUAAACCUCUGUCAGAAGGGAAGAACGGGUGAUGGUCUAAUAGGCCGUCAUUUUGACGGUACCUUCAGAGGAAGCACCGGCUAACUCCGUGCCAGCAGCCGCGGUAAUACGGAGGGUGCAAGCGUAAUUCGGAAUUACUGGGCGUAAAGCGCACGUAGGCGGCCUUGUAAGUCAGGGGUGAAAUCCCACGGCUCAACCGUGGAACUGCCUUUGAAACUGCAGGGCUUGAAUCCUGGAGAGGGUGGCGGAAUUCCUGGUGUAGGAGUGAAAUCCGUAGAUAUCAGGAGGAACACCGGUGGCGAAGGCGGCCACCUGGACAGGUAUUG
This 700-nucleotide ribosomal RNA is filed under the name uncultured bacterium. Its description in RNAcentral is "bacterial SSU rRNA". It matches the Rfam family "Bacterial small subunit ribosomal RNA", at positions 59 to 742 of the family's 1533-position model. The record is from RNAcentral.